GAUGAACGCUGGCGGCGUGCCUAACACAUGCAAGUCGAGCGAUUCUCUUCGGAGAAGAGCGGCGGACGGGUGAGUAACGCGUGGGUAACCUGCCCUGUACGCACGGAUAACAUACCGAAAGGUAUGCUAAUACGGGAUAAUAUGUUUUGAUCGCAUGGUCGAAAUAUCAAAGCUCCGGCGGUACAGGAUGGACCCGCGUCUGAUUAGCUAGUUGGUAAGGUAACGGCUUACCAAGGCGACGAUCAGUAGCCGACCUGAGAGGGUGAUCGGCCACAUUGGAACUGAGACACGGUCCAAACUCCUACGGGAGGCAGCAGUGGGGAAUAUUGCACAAUGGGCGAAAGCCUGAUGCAGCAACGCCGCGUGAGCGAUGAAGGCCUUCGGGUCGUAAAGCUCUGUCCUCAAGGAAGAUAAUGACGGUACUUGAGGAGGAAGCCCCGGCUAACUACGUGCCAGCCGCCGCAGUAA
Molecule: ribosomal RNA, 468 nt
Filed under: uncultured bacterium
Lineage: Bacteria
Description: partial 16S ribosomal RNA
Rfam family: Bacterial small subunit ribosomal RNA
Source: RNAcentral